This 1200-nucleotide long non-coding RNA is filed under the name Homo sapiens (human). Its description in RNAcentral is "HSALNT0291389". The record is from RNAcentral. Lineage: Eukaryota; Metazoa; Chordata; Mammalia; Primates; Hominidae.
AACAAACAAACAAACAAACACCUUACAUAUAUAUUGGUGUUGUGACUGUUCUAAAUUGCUAAAAUGGUUUAUGACCAAUGUAUAGUUUGUCAAACCCAUAAUCUUGAGAAGACAACCAAAACUUCAGGUACCUUUCUGCUACAUCUGAACACUUUACAGAGGGAUUUCAUUCAAUUGUGAUUUUCAGUGCAUAUUUUCUGGUUGUACAGGAGCUUUCUCAUACAAGUGGGCUGAUGCUAUAACAGCAGCUAAAAGGUUAUUAGGAAAUGUGUUUCUCUCAUAGAACAUUGCUGAAGAAAUCUCCAGUGAUAGAGAUACUUGCCUCACUGGACUGGCUGUAAAACAGUUAAAUAAGGUAUUACAGAUAUAAGAGCAUUAGGCAAAACUAACUGAAUAAUCUGGAUUGCCUUGGUCAAAGAUGUUUCAGAUUGAUGACAAACAGAUCCACUUCCAUGGGAAAACAAAAGUUGAACCCUUAUGAAAUAGUCACUGGAAGGCUUAUGCUCCUAAUAACAGAACCUUCUGUAUCUUAUGCUCCUAAACCUUAACGUGACUAAAUGCUGCAAGGCUGUAAUGUAUUAUGCCAAAGUGUAUUUUCACCAGGUAAAGAAAGCUUUUCAUGGACCACUGACUCAGGACAAGCAAACCCUUCAUGAUAUAGAAUUCAGAGGCUGGAUCUUUUGGAAACACAUCAGAGAAAGACUCCCCUUGUCACCCACACUGCAGCGAAACUUCAGGACCCUGAAGCUUGGGUUUGUAAUCUCACAACUUAGAAAGGCCCACCCAGACUCUUGGAACCACACACCCAUCAGAGGGAGAACUUAAGGUAAAGCUAAUGAGGUCUAAUCAAUGGUGCUCUAACUACAGAACAGCGAAUCUUAACCUGGGGACCAUGGGUCAUGAAUGGACUGCAGAAAUUCUGUGACCUCCUGGUGGAGGUUCCAGUUUACUAAAUGGAAACAUUUCUUCUGAGAGGAUCUGUUCCCUGGAUCUACUUAAAAAGCUCAGGGUUAAAUGAGAAGGACCUAACCCUUCUCAUAUAGCCCACCAAGGCUUGUAUCAAGAACAUUAGAUUACUUCCAUGAUUGCUUUUAAUUCUGACAGUCCAUGAAAUGGUCAUAAGGUAUGGGUUGAUAAGGACAUGGUUCUCUAGUAUUACAGUUCACCCUAAUAUGUUUUAAAUUCUCAUUUCUAAGGUUA